UGGGGGAUGAUGUCAAGUCAGCACGGCCCUUAUAGGGUGGGCUACACACGUGCUACAAUGGCAACUACAAUAGGUUGCGAGACCGCGAGGUUUAGCUAAUCCAAAAAAGUUGUCUCAGUUCGGAUUGUUCUCUGCAACUCGAGAGCAUGAAGUCGGAAUCGCUAGUAAUCGUGGAUCAUCAUGCCACGGUGAAUACGUUCUCGGGUCUUGUACACACUGCCCGUCACGCCAUGGGAAUUGGCUUAACUCGAAGCUGGUGAAAACCG
This 266-nucleotide ribosomal RNA is filed under the name uncultured Ehrlichia sp. RNAcentral's name for it is "partial 16S ribosomal RNA". It matches the Rfam family "Bacterial small subunit ribosomal RNA", at positions 1173 to 1441 of the family's 1533-position model. The record is from RNAcentral. Lineage: Bacteria; Pseudomonadati; Pseudomonadota; Alphaproteobacteria; Rickettsiales; Anaplasmataceae.